CCAGGGAAACUUGGAUUAAUACCCCGUAACAUUAUGAAGUGGCAUCACUUUAUAAUUAUAGCUCCGGCGUUUAAAGAUGGGUGUGCGGCUGAUUAGGUAGUUGGCGGGGUAACGGCCCACCAAGCCUGCGAUCAGUAACUGGUGUGAGAGCACGACCAGUCACACGGGCACUGAGACACGGGCCCGACUCCUACGGGAGGCAGCAGUAAGGAAUAUUGGGCAAUGGACGCAAGUCUGACCCAGCCAUGCCGCGUGGAGGAUGAAGGCCCUCUGGGUUGUAAACUUCUUUUCUCUGGGGCGAAAAACAGGUUUUCUAACUUGCUUGACAGUACCAGAGGAAUAAGCACCGGCUAACUCCGUGCCAGCAGCCGCGGUAAUACGGAGGGUGCAAGCGUUAUCCGGAUUCACUGGGUUUAAAGGGUGCGUAGGUGGGGAGGUAAGUCAGCGGUGAAAUCCCCGAGCUUAACUUGGGAACUGCCAUUGAUACUAUCUCUCUUGAAUACCUUGGAGGUGAGCGGAAUAUGUCAUGUAGCGGUGAAAUGCUUAGAUAUGACAUAGAACACCAAUUGCGAAGGCAGCUCACUACACGGUCAUUGACACUGAGGCACGAAAGCGUGGGGAUCAAACAGGAUUAGAUACCCUGGUAGUCCACGCCCUAAACGAUGGAUACUCGACAUCAGCGAUACACUGUUGGUGUCUGAGCGAAAGCAUUAAGUUCCCACC
Molecule: ribosomal RNA, 723 nt
Filed under: Bacteroidetes bacterium IP-27G
Lineage: Bacteria; Pseudomonadati; Bacteroidota
Description: bacterial SSU rRNA
Rfam family: Bacterial small subunit ribosomal RNA
Source: RNAcentral